GAGUGCAAAGGCAGAAGGGAGCUUGACUGCGAGACGGACAGGUCGAGCAGGGACGAAAGUCGGGCUUAGUGAUCCGGUGGUAGAGAGUGGAAUUGCCAUCGCUCAACGGAUAAAAGCUACCCUGGGGAUAACAGGCUUAUCUCUCCCAAGAGUCCAUAUCGACGGGGAGGUUUGGCACCUCGAUGUCGGCUCAUCACAUCCUGGGGCUGAAGUAGGUCCCAAGGGUUGGGCUGUUCGCCCAUUAAAGUGGUACGCGAGCUGGGUUCAGAACGUCGUGAGACAGUUCGGUCCCUAUCCAUCGCGGGCGUAAGAAACUUGAAAGGGGCUGCUCCUAGUACGAGAGGACCGGAGUGGACCGACCAAUGGUGUACCAGUCAUGGCGCCAGCCGUGCAGCUGGGUAGCUACGUCGGGGACGGAUAAACGCUGAAAGCAUCUAAGCGUGAAACCAGCCUAGAGAUGAGGUUUCUCAUUGUUUUAACAAGUAAGGUCCCACAAAGACGAUGUGGUUGAUAGGCCGGGAGUGGAAGUACAGCGAUGUACGGAGCGGACCGGUACUAAUAGACCGAGGACUUGACUUA
Molecule: ribosomal RNA, 579 nt
Filed under: Megasphaera elsdenii
Lineage: Bacteria; Bacillati; Bacillota; Negativicutes; Veillonellales; Veillonellaceae
Description: bacterial LSU rRNA
Rfam family: Bacterial large subunit ribosomal RNA
Source: RNAcentral